Molecule: microRNA, 22 nt
Filed under: Monodelphis domestica (gray short-tailed opossum)
Lineage: Eukaryota; Metazoa; Chordata; Mammalia; Didelphimorphia; Didelphidae
Description: Mdo-Mir-1544-P1l_5p* (star (passenger))
Source: RNAcentral
ACACCCAGGGACAGAAUAGCAG